Molecule: non-coding RNA, 143 nt
Organism: Pelodiscus sinensis (Chinese soft-shelled turtle)
Lineage: Eukaryota; Metazoa; Chordata; Testudines; Trionychidae
Source: RefSeq, a predicted model, not a curated record
UAGAGAUAGAAAUGUAGCCGUGUUAGUCUGGUCUAGCUGAAACAACAGACAGAACUAUGUAGCACUUUAAAGACUAACAAGAUGGUUUAUUAGGUGAUGAGCUUUCGUGGGCCAGACCCACUUCCUCAGAUCAAAUAGUGGAA